RNAcentral lists this transfer RNA (71 nucleotides) under Camelus bactrianus (Bactrian camel). It matches the Rfam family "tRNA". From Rfam's summary of the family: Transfer RNA (tRNA) molecules are approximately 80 nucleotides in length. Their secondary structure includes four short double-helical elements and three loops (D, anti-codon, and T loops). Further hydrogen bonds mediate the characteristic L-shaped molecular structure. tRNAs have two regions of fundamental functional importance: the anti-codon, which is responsible for specific mRNA codon recognition, and the 3' end, to which the tRNAs corresponding amino acid is attached (by aminoacyl-tRNA synthetases). tRNAs cope with the degeneracy of the genetic code in two manners: having more than one tRNA (with a specific anti-codon) for a particular amino acid; and 'wobble' base-pairing, i.e. permitting non-standard base-pairing at the 3rd anti-codon position. RNAcentral also lists the same sequence under 2 other names. Lineage: Eukaryota; Metazoa; Chordata; Mammalia; Artiodactyla; Camelidae. The record is from Rfam by way of RNAcentral.
GAAAGGAUACCUCAGUGGUUGAGUGCAUGCCUAGCAUGUAUGAGGUCCUGGGCUCAAUCCCAGUAAUUCCA